GAUGAACGCUGGCGGCGUGCCUAAUACAUGCAAGUCGAGCGAACGGACGAGAAGCGUGCUUCUCUGAUGUUAGCGGCGGACGGGUGAGUAACACGUGGAUAACCUACCUAUAAGACUGGGAUAACUUCGGGAAACCGGAGCUAAUACCGGAUGAUAUUUUGAACCGCAGGGUUCAAAAGUGAAAGACGGUCUUGCUGUCACUUAUAGAGGGAUCCGCGCUGCAUUAGCUAGUUGGUAAGGUAACGGCUUACCAAGGCAACGAUGCAUAGCCGACCUGAGAGGGUGAUCAGCCACACUGGAACUGAGACACGGUCCAGACUCCUACGGGAGGCAGCAGUAGGGAAUCUUCCGCAAUGGGCGAAAGCCUGACGGAGCAACGCCGCGUGAGUGAUGAAGGUCUUCGGAUCGUAAAACUCUGUUAUUAGGGAAGAACAUAUGUGUAAGUAACUGUGCACAUCUUGACGGUACCUAAUCAGAAAGCCACGGCUAACUACGUG
This 497-nucleotide ribosomal RNA is filed under the name uncultured bacterium. RNAcentral describes it as "partial 16S ribosomal RNA". It matches the Rfam family "Bacterial small subunit ribosomal RNA", at positions 28 to 507 of the family's 1533-position model. The record is from RNAcentral.